Molecule: ribosomal RNA, 209 nt
Filed under: uncultured bacterium
Lineage: Bacteria
Description: partial 16S ribosomal RNA
Rfam family: Bacterial small subunit ribosomal RNA
Source: RNAcentral
GACGAGGGGUCCUAGCGUUGUUCGGAAUCACUGGGCGUAAAGCGUUCGUAGGCGGCUCUAUAAGUCGGGUGUGAAAUCCCACGGCUACAACCGUGGAAGUGCAUUCGAAACUGCAGAGCUUGAAUAUGGGUAGAGGGUAGUAGAAUUCCGUGGUGUAGUGGUGAAAUACGUAGAUAUCAGGAGGAAUACCGGUGGCGAAGGCGGCUACC